CAGAAUUAAAUAACCUUCUUUUUGAAAACAGUGGCCAUACAGUUUGAAAACAGAAAUCUGCUUUAUUUUUGUUUGUAUUUUAUUUUGUGUCAUUUUAAUUUGUUUACUGUGAUGAGUUUACUUUUCAUGUUACUCCAUCUGUAUCUGUGCCCUCAUCUCCACAGAAACAGUCCUGCCCUCAGCCUAGGAGCUGGUCACUGUAAAGACCCCUGAGAGACUUGAGCUCCAACUCCCUGUCUGUUAGAAAUAAUAAACACACACAGCAGGACAGGAGACACAGUGAGAGAGAGGAGAUCACAGAGACUCCCUCAGUAAUAAACACACACAACAGGACAGGAGACACAGUGAGAGAGAGGAGAUCACAGAGACUCCCUCAGUAAUAAACACACAACAGGACAGGAGACACAGUGAGAGAGAGAGGAGAAGCAGAUGUUGACACUACAGCACUGUGAAGAGUGCAGGAUUCCUCCUGCUGUGUGUGUUUUCCCUACCUGUAACGUUGAGGCCAGUCAGACUCCCGAUGCGCAGCAGUCUGAUCCGCUCCAGGUGUGACCAGCCACCACCCCCCAGUGUGCCUCCCAUCCCCAGUCUGUGAGCUUCAGGCCCUGCAGGCAGUCUGGGGGCAGCGCCCUGCCUGCUGGGCUGUCCUGGUCAGGGAUGUGUAGUGUGCAAGCUCUCUUCUGGCCACAGCUGCACAGAGAACUCAGGUUCAGUCUGGGUUCAGCCUGGGUCCAGUGCAGGUUCAGGGUUCAGCCUGGGUCCAGUGUAGGUUCAGUCUGGGUCCAGUGCAGGUUCAGCCUGGGUUCAGUGCAGGUUCACUCUGGGUCCAGUGCAGGUUCAGCCUGGGUUCAGUGCAGGUUCAUUGUAGGUUCAGUGCAGGUUCAUUGUAGGCUCAGUGCAGGUUCAGCCUGGGUUCAGUGCUGGUUCAGUGCAGGUUCAGCCUGGGUUCAGUGCAGGUUCAGCCUGGGUUCAGUGC
This 976-nucleotide long non-coding RNA is filed under the name Lepisosteus oculatus (spotted gar). RNAcentral's name for it is "lncRNA (ENSLOCG00000022440.1)". Lineage: Eukaryota; Metazoa; Chordata; Actinopteri; Semionotiformes; Lepisosteidae. The record is from RNAcentral.